GCCGGGUGUGGUGGUGGGCACCUGUAAUCCCAGCUACUCAGGAGGCUGAGGCAGGAGAAUUGCUUGAACCCGGGAAGCGGAGUUUGCAGUGAGCCAAGAUGGCGCUACUGCACUCUGGCCUGGUUGACAGAGCAAGACUCUGUCUUAU
Molecule: non-coding RNA, 148 nt
Filed under: Pan troglodytes (chimpanzee)
Lineage: Eukaryota; Metazoa; Chordata; Mammalia; Primates; Hominidae
Source: Rfam by way of RNAcentral